Saimiri boliviensis boliviensis (Bolivian squirrel monkey) is the source of this 106-nucleotide small nuclear RNA. The record is from Ensembl. NCBI's taxonomy places the organism in Eukaryota, Metazoa, Chordata, Mammalia, Primates, Cebidae.
GUGCUUGUUUCAGCAGCACAUACACCAAAAUGGAACAAUACAGAGAAGAUUAGCAUAGCACCUGCACAAGGAUGACACACAAAUCAGUGAAGCGUUCCAUAUUUUU